UACGAAGGGGGCUAGCGUUGUUCGGAAUCACUGGGCGUAAAGGGUGCGUAGGCGGGUUUUUAAGUCAGGGGUGAAAGCCCAGAGCUCAACUCUGGAAUGGCCUUUGAGACUAGAGAACUAGGGUACGGGAGAGGUGAGUGGAAUUCCGAGUGUAGAGGUGAAAUUCGUAGAUAUUCGGAAGAACACCAGUGGCGAAGGCGGCUCACUGGCCCGUUACCGACGCUCAGGCGCGACAGCGUGGGGAGCAAACAGG
This 253-nucleotide ribosomal RNA is filed under the name uncultured bacterium. RNAcentral describes it as "partial 16S ribosomal RNA". It matches the Rfam family "Bacterial small subunit ribosomal RNA", at positions 524 to 776 of the family's 1533-position model. The record is from RNAcentral.